UGGGACCUACGGGGGGCAGCAGUGGGGGAUAUUGCACAAUGGGGGGAACCCUGAUGCAGCGACGCCGCAUGGGUGAAGAAGCGCCUCGGCGCGUAAAGCCCUGUCAGCAGGGAAGAAAAUGACGGUACCUGAAGAAGAAGCCCCGGCUAACUACGUGCCAGCAGCCGCGGUAAUACGUAGGGGGCAAGCGUUAUCCGGAUUUACUGGGUGUAAAGGGGGCGUAGACGGCUGUGCAAGUCUGAAGUGAAAGGCAAGGGCUCAACCUUUGGACUGCUUUGGAAACUGUGCAGCUAGAGUGUCGGAGA
This 305-nucleotide ribosomal RNA is filed under the name uncultured bacterium. Its description in RNAcentral is "partial 16S ribosomal RNA". It matches the Rfam family "Bacterial small subunit ribosomal RNA", at positions 331 to 655 of the family's 1533-position model. The record is from RNAcentral.